Molecule: long non-coding RNA, 201 nt
Filed under: Elaeis guineensis (African oil palm)
Lineage: Eukaryota; Viridiplantae; Streptophyta; Magnoliopsida; Arecales; Arecaceae
Description: long non-coding RNA (EGUI_LNC068590)
Source: RNAcentral
CUUCUAUAUGCACUUUUAGAAUACCUACAAGUUGGGCUUCUUAAUUAGGGAUCACUAGAAGGGUGUCAAUAGGUGCAUGAGGAAGUGGCUUCAAUUCUAGAGCAGGUGGUGCUUCUAAUAAAAGAGCUAUUAGGGGGUUAGGUGAUGGCUCAUAAUUUUUGAUCCAAAGUGGGGUAGUUUCAUGGUAGGGUGUAUCUAUUA